GGAGAUAUAGCUCAGUUGGUAGAGUGCUUGCCUUGCAUGCACAAGAUCCUGGGUUAAAUCCUCAGCACCACUA
RNAcentral lists this transfer RNA (73 nucleotides) under Ictidomys tridecemlineatus (thirteen-lined ground squirrel). RNAcentral describes it as "Spermophilus tridecemlineatus (thirteen-lined ground squirrel) tRNA". It matches the Rfam family "tRNA". Rfam says of the family: Transfer RNA (tRNA) molecules are approximately 80 nucleotides in length. Their secondary structure includes four short double-helical elements and three loops (D, anti-codon, and T loops). Lineage: Eukaryota; Metazoa; Chordata; Mammalia; Rodentia; Sciuridae. The record is from Rfam by way of RNAcentral.